RNAcentral lists this ribosomal RNA (414 nucleotides) under uncultured bacterium. RNAcentral describes it as "bacterial SSU rRNA". It matches the Rfam family "Bacterial small subunit ribosomal RNA", at positions 917 to 1333 of the family's 1533-position model. The record is from RNAcentral.
GGGCCCGCACAAGCGGUGGAGCAUGUGGUUUAAUUCGAUGAUACGCGAGGAACCUUACCAGGGCUUAAAUGUAGUGGGACAGGUCUAGAGAUAGACCCUUCUUCGGACUCAUUACAAGGUGCUGCAUGGUUGUCGUCAGCUCGUGCCGUGAGGUGUCAGGUUAAGUCCUAUAACGAGCGCAACCCCUAUCGUUAGUUGCCAGCGGGUAAUGCCGGGAACUCUAGCGAAACUGCCGGUGCAAACCGUGAGGAAGGUGGGGAUGACGUCAAAUCAUCACGGCCCUUACGUCCUGGGCUACACACGUGCUACAAUGGUCGGUACAGAGAGCAGCCACUACGCGAGUAGGAGCGAAUCCUUAAACUGUAAUCUCAGUUCGGAUCGGAGUCUGCAACUCGACUCCGUGAAGCUGGAAUC